Molecule: ribosomal RNA, 379 nt
Filed under: uncultured bacterium
Lineage: Bacteria
Description: bacterial SSU rRNA
Rfam family: Bacterial small subunit ribosomal RNA
Source: RNAcentral
GAUGAACGCUGGCGGCGUGCCUAAUACAUGCAAGUUGUGCGGUAACAGAGAGAGCUUGCUCUCUGCUGACGAGCGGCGGACGGCAGAGUAACGCGUAGGACAUACCCCAAACUGAGGGAUAACUGCUCGAAAGAGUAGCUAAUACCGCAUGUGGUCUUCGGAUUAAAGCUUCGGCGGUUUGGGAGUGGCCUGCGUCCGAUUAGCUAGUUGGUGAGGUAAUUGCUCACCAAGGCGACGAUCGGUAGCUGGUCUGAGAGGAUGAUCAGCCUGACUGGAACUGAGAACGGUCCAGACUCCUACGGAGGCAGCAGUAGGGAAUUUUCCACAAUGGGCGAAAGCCUGAUGGAGCAACGCCGCGUGCAGGAUGAAUGCCUUCGGG